AUGACGAUGCAGCAGCGGCAGCAGUGGAGGACGACGUCGUGCAUCUACCUUGUCCCGGAGCGCAACAGGAAGCUAAACAUCACCGCCUACACGCCGCAGCUGGUGUCCUUCGGCCCCUUCCACCAUGGCCUCGCCUCCCUCCGGCCCAUGGAGGAGCACAAGCACAGGGCCCUCCUGCACUUCCUCCGGCGCGCCUGCAAGCCCCUCAGCGAGUUCGUGGCGGCCAUGGAGGGCGCGGCGGAGCAGCUGGAGGGCAUGUACCAGGGCCUCCCAGCCGAGUGGCGCGACAGGCGGCGCUUGGUGCGGCUCAUGGUCCUGGACGGCUGCUUCAUGCUGGAGGUGGUGAGGGCGGCCACCGCGACGGCGGAGAACGACUACCACGUGGACGACCCCGUCUUCGGCUGGCACGGCGCCGUCAACACCAUACCCUACGUCCGCCGCGACAUGCUCCUCAUCGAGAACCAGCUGCCGCUGCUUGUGCUGCUCAAGCUUAUCACCGUCGAGAGCGGGCGACCAGAUCCGAGUGGGAUCAAGAGGCAAGUGCUCAAGUUCUUGUCGCCGAGCACCCAGCUGAUGGACGAUGUCGUCCCCGAGGGGCUCCACCCUCUCCAGCUUUUCCGGUGGAGCCGCGUCGCCGAGCAGAGGAGCACACUAGUCCCGGCGACAAACCCAGGCGACGUGCCUUCUCAUCAGCACCAGCUGGACCAGGUGCCCGCGGAGGCAGAGCAGAGGAGCGACAUCUCGGCAAUGGACCUGCGGGACGCCGGCAUCCACCUGAGGAAGCUGUCCUCCAAGAAGAUCAGCGACAUCCGCCUCGCUGGCCACGUGCUCAGCCUGCCGACGCUCACCGUCAACGAGCUGACGGAGCCCAUCUUCGUGAACCUGGUCGCGUUCAAGCGACUGCACGUCGGGCUCAGCUCGCCCUUCCGCCUCACCGCCUACCUCUUCUUCAUGUCCAAGGUCGUCAAGACCGCCGAGGACGUCGCUUUUCUGAGCUCCAAGGGGAUCAUCAGGAACGCGCUGGACGACGGCCACAAGGUGGCGGAGCUGUUCGCCAGGAUGUCGGCUGACCUGCAUGUGUACCCGCCCGAGGAAGGCGGCAGGCUGGUCAUCCUGCACCAGCAGCUUGAGAAAUACUGCCAGGAGAAGUGGCGCAUUUGGCGGGCGCACAUCGCUCGGACCUACUUCAGGAGCCCAUGGGCGCCCCUCUCCCUUGCCGGCAGCGUCUUCUUCCUCACCAUGACCGCAGCAAACAACAUCUACAAUGUACUGCGGGUGCGGCACUGA
This 1287-nucleotide ribosomal RNA is filed under the name Triticum aestivum (bread wheat). RNAcentral describes it as "partial small subunit ribosomal RNA". The record is from RNAcentral. Lineage: Eukaryota; Viridiplantae; Streptophyta; Magnoliopsida; Poales; Poaceae.